UUGUUGAACAACUUCGAGGAGUCCACAGGUUUAAAACUCAACCAGGCAAAAUCAUCUGUCAUUCCGAUCAACUGCGGGGUGGUUCAGCUAUCGGAUGUGCUGCAAAAUUUUGGUUGCCAGUUGUCUGCUUUCCCGACAGCUUACCUAGGCCUGCCGAUCUCUCCAACAAAGCUGCGACUGGUGCACCUUCAGUUCAUCAUUCAUCGGGUCCGCUCGAGGCUCACGAGAUGGAAAGGUAGAUUGAUGUGGAUGGCCGGCAGGCGGGUGCUAGUGCAUGUAGUCCUAACUGCUCUAUCGUUUUUUGCUCUGAUUGUACUCAAGGUGCCCAAGAAAAUCCUCAAGGAGGUGGACAAAAUGCUCCGACAAUUCCUUUGGGCCCAGGAUGAGAACAUAACGGGCGCUAGAUGCAAAUUGUCCUGGGAUAAAGUAUGCUUACCCGUGGCCAAGGGGGGCUCGGCAUUUUGGAUCGCCCUCGGUUCAGCAUGA
This 486-nucleotide ribosomal RNA is filed under the name Triticum aestivum (bread wheat). Its description in RNAcentral is "partial small subunit ribosomal RNA". Lineage: Eukaryota; Viridiplantae; Streptophyta; Magnoliopsida; Poales; Poaceae. The record is from RNAcentral.